ACCAUCUUGUAUGGGCGCCCCCAGGGAUCUU
RNAcentral lists this small RNA (31 nucleotides) under Bombyx mori (domestic silkworm). RNAcentral's name for it is "ovarian small RNA-11242". The record is from RNAcentral. Lineage: Eukaryota; Metazoa; Arthropoda; Insecta; Lepidoptera; Bombycidae.